GAUGAACACUAGCUACAGGCUUAACACAUGCAAGUCGGGGGGAAACGACAUCGAAAGCUUGCUUUUGAUGGGCGUCGACCGGCGCACGGGUGAGUAACGCGUAUCCAACCUGCCCAUCACUUGGGAAUAACCUUGCGAAAGUAAGACUAAUGCCCAAUGAUAUCCCACGAAGGCAUCCGAAUGGGAUUAAAGAUUUAUCGGUGAUGGAUGGGGAUGCGUCUGAUUAGCUUGUUGGCGGGGUAACGGCCCACCAAGGUGACGAUCAGUAGGGGGUCUGAGAGGAAGGUCCCCCACAUUGGAACUGAGACACGGUCCAAACUCCUACGGGAGGCAGCAGUGAGGAAUAUUGGUCAAUGGGCGAGAGCCUGAACCAGCCAAGUAGCGUGCAGGAUGACGGCCCUAUGGGUUGUAAACUGCUUUUAUAAGGGAAUAAAGUGAGUCUCGUGAGACUUUUUGCAUGUACCUUAUGAAUAAGGACCGGCUAAUUCCGUGCCAGCCGCCGCAGUAA
Molecule: ribosomal RNA, 508 nt
Filed under: uncultured bacterium
Lineage: Bacteria
Description: partial 16S ribosomal RNA
Rfam family: Bacterial small subunit ribosomal RNA
Source: RNAcentral